UACGUAGGGUGCAAGCGUUGCCCGGAUUUAUUGGGCGUAAAGGGCGCGCAGGCGGCCGAGCACGUCCGUUGUGAAAUCGCCUGGCUCAACUGGGCGGGGUCAGCGGAUACGGCUAGGCUGGAGCAAGCUAGGGGGCAAUGGAAUUCCCGGUGUAGUGGUGGAAUGCGUAGAUAUCGGGAGGAACACCUGUGGCGAAAGCGGCGCACUGGACCAUAACUGACGCUGAGGCGCGAAAGCUAGGGGAGCAAACAGG
RNAcentral lists this ribosomal RNA (253 nucleotides) under uncultured bacterium. RNAcentral's name for it is "partial 16S ribosomal RNA". It matches the Rfam family "Bacterial small subunit ribosomal RNA", at positions 524 to 776 of the family's 1533-position model. The record is from RNAcentral.